Molecule: long non-coding RNA, 332 nt
Filed under: Malus domestica (apple)
Lineage: Eukaryota; Viridiplantae; Streptophyta; Magnoliopsida; Rosales; Rosaceae
Description: long non-coding RNA (MDOM_LNC003324)
Source: RNAcentral
UCCCAGCAGGGCUAGUCCUCCUCCAGCGCCUGUCCCACCUCCCGCUUUAAACCCCCCAGGGAGUGCAGGCCCUCGGCCCCCACCUCCUCCAGCACCUCCUGGCCCUCGGCCCCCACCACCUCUAGCACCUCCUGGCCCUCGGCCCCCACCACCUCCAGCACCUCCUGGCCCUCGCCCCCCACCACCUCCAAAGAGCGGCGUUCCUCCUCCUCGGCCACCUCCAGCAAUGGCUAUUGGUUCAAAGGUAGCUCGACCUCCACCUCUUGCACCAAAACAUCCAUCGGAUGCUGGAUCGGAGGUUGAUGGUGAUGCUCCUAAAACAAAGCUGAAGC